Molecule: ribosomal RNA, 465 nt
Filed under: uncultured bacterium
Lineage: Bacteria
Description: partial 16S ribosomal RNA
Rfam family: Bacterial small subunit ribosomal RNA
Source: RNAcentral
GACGAACGCUGGCGGCGUGCUUAACACAUGCAAGUCGAACGGAAAGGCCCUGCUUGCAGGGUACUCGAGUGGCGAACGGGUGAGUAACACGUGGGUGAUCUGCCCUGCACUUCGGGAGAAGCCUGGUAAACUGGGUCUAAUACCGGAUAGGAGCCAUUUUUAGUGUGAUGGUUGGAUAGUUUUGUCGGUGUAGGAUGAGCUCUCGGCCUAUCAGCUUGUUGGUGGGGUAAUGGCCUACCAAGGCGGCGGCGGGAAGCCGGACUGAGAGGGUGGCCGGCCACCCUGAGACUGACGUACGGCAGAGACAGGGACUGGAGGGAGAUGGGGGGAAGACUGCAGGAUGGGCGCAAGGCGGGUGAAGAGGGGCCGCGGGGCGGAUGACGCUGUUCUGGUUGUAAAACCAUUGCGCAAGGGACGAAGCUUUUUGUGACGGUACCUAGACAGGAAGCCCCGGCUAACUACGUG